CCCUUAGAUGUUCUGGGCCGCACACGCGCUACACUGAAGGAGGCAGCGUGUACUCCUGGAUCGAAAGAUUUGGGUAACCCGCGAAUCUCCUUCGUGCUAGGGAUUGAGGUUUGCAAUUAUCCUUCAUGAACGAGGAAUUCCCAGUAAGUGCAAGUCAUAAGCUUGCGCUGACUACGUCCCUGCCCUUUGUACACACCGCCCGUCGCUACUACCGAUUGAGUGAUCCGGUGAAUAAUUCGGACUGCAGCACUGCUUGGUCUCCAGGCUUUGCAGCGGAAAGUUUAGUGAACCUUAUCACUUAGAGGAAGGAGAANUCGUANCA
RNAcentral lists this ribosomal RNA (322 nucleotides) under uncultured eukaryote. Its description in RNAcentral is "partial 18S ribosomal RNA". It matches the Rfam family "Eukaryotic small subunit ribosomal RNA", at positions 1470 to 1796 of the family's 1831-position model. The record is from RNAcentral.